UUCCGGUUGAUCCUGCCGGACCCUACUGCUAUCGGGAUGGGACUAAGACAUGCUAGUCGUGCGCCUCCAAGCCAUGGUGGAGGCGCGGCGCACAGCUCAGUAACACGUGGUUAACCUGCCCUUGGGACGGAAACACCCCCGGGAAACUGGGGCUAAUUUCCGGUAGGUGAAGGCUCCUGGAAUGGAUCUUCGCCUAAAGGGCGCUUAGGCCAUGCUUCUAGGCGCUGCCCAAGGAUGGGGCCGCGGCCGAUCAGGUUGUUGGUGAGGUAAUGGCUCACCAAGCCUUUAACCGGUUCGGGCCGUGGGAGCGGGAGCCCGGAGAUGGGCACUGAGACAGGGCCCCAGGCCCUACGGGGCGCAGCAGUCGCGAAAACUCCGCAAAUACGCGAGGCGGUGACGGGGCUAUCCCGAGUGCCGUCCGCUGAGGAUGGCUUUUCCCUAGUGUAGAUAGCUGGGGGAAUAAGGAGAGGGCAAGUCUGGUGUCAGCCGCCGCGGUAAUACCAGCUCUCCGAGUGGUGGGGACGUUUAUUGGGCCUGAAGCAUCCGUAGCCAGCUGAGCAAGUCCCCAGUUAAAUCCAGCGAUUUAAUCGUUGGACUGCUGGGGAUACUGUCCGGCUAGGGGGUGGGAGAGGCCGACGGUAUUCCCGGGGUAGGGGUGAAAUCCUAUAAUCCCGGGAGGACCACCAGUGGCGAAGGCUGUUGGCUAAAACAUGCCCGACGGUGAGGGAUGAAAGCUGGGGGAGCGAACCGGAUUAGAUACCCGGGUAGUCCCAGCUGUAAACGAUGCAGGCUAGGUGUUAGGGCGGCCACGUGCCGCUCUAGUGACGCAGGGAAGCUGUUAAGCCUGCCGCCUGGGGAGUACGCCCGCAAGGCUGAAACUUAAAGGAAUUGGCGGGA
Molecule: ribosomal RNA, 897 nt
Filed under: uncultured archaeon
Lineage: Archaea
Description: bacterial SSU rRNA
Rfam family: Archaeal small subunit ribosomal RNA
Source: RNAcentral